AGAGUUUGAUCCUGGCUCAGAUUGAACGCUGGCGGCAUGCCUUACACAUGCAAGUCGAACGGCAGCACGAGAGCUUGCUCUUGGUGGCGAGUGGCGAACGGGUGAGUAAUAUAUCGGAACGUACCCUAGAGUGGGGGAUAACGUAGCGAAAGUUACGCUAAUACCGCGUACGAUCUACGGAUGAAAGUGGGGGAUCGCAAGACCUCAUGCUCAUGGAGCGGCCGAUAUCUGAUUAGCUAGUUGGUGGGGUAAAAGCUCACCAAGGCGACGAUCAGUAGCUGGUCUGAGAGGACGACCAGCCACACUGGAACUGAGACACGGUCCAGACUCCUACGGGAGGCAGCAGUGGGGAAUUUUGGACAAUGGGCGCAAGCCUGAUCCAGCAAUGCCGCGUGGGUGAAGAAGGCCUUCGGGUUGUAAAGCUCUUUUGUCAGGGAAGAAACGGUGGACUCUAAUACAGAUCACUAAUGACGGUACCUGAAGAAUAAGCACCGGCUAACUACGUGCCAGCAGCCGCGGUAAUACGUAGGGUGCAAGCGUUAAUCGGAAUUACUGGGCGUAAAGCGUGCGCAGGCGGUUGUGCAAGACAGAUGUGAAAUCCCCGGGCUCAACCUGGGAAUUGCAUUUGUGACUGCACGGCUAGAGUGUGUCAGAGGGGGGUAGAAUUCCACGUGUAGCAGUGAAAUGCGUAGAGAUGUGGAGGAAUACCGAUGGCGAAGGCAGCCCCCUGGGAUAACACUGACGCUCAUGCACGAAAGCGUGGGGAGCAAACAGGAUUAGAUACCCUGGUAGUCCACGCCCUAAACGAUGUCUACUAGUUGUCGGGUCUUAAUUGACUUGGUAACGCAGCUAACGCGUGAAGUAGACCGCCUGGGGAGUACGGUCGCAAGAUUAAAACUCAAAGGAAUUGACGGGGACCCGCACAAGCGGUGGAUGAUGUGGAUUAAUUCGAUGCAACGCGAAAAACCUUACCUACCCUUGACAUGUCUGGAAUCCUUGAGAGAUCAGGGAGUGCUCGAAAGAGAAUCAGAACGCAGGUGCUGCAUGGCUGUCGUCAGCUCGUGUCGUGAGAUGUUGGGUUAAGUCCCGCAACGAGCGCAACCCUUGUCAUUAGUUGCUACGAAAGGGCACUCUAAUGAGACUGCCGGUGACAAACCGGAGGAAGGUGGGGAUGACGUCAAGUCCUCAUGGCCCUUAUGGGUAGGGCUUCACACGUCAUACAAUGGUACAUACAGAGGGCCGCCAACCCGCGAGGGGGAGCUAAUCCCAGAAAGUGUAUCGUAGUCCGGAUUGUAGUCUGCAACUCGACUACAUGAAGUUGGAAUCGCUAGUAAUCGCGGAUCAGCAUGUCGCGGUGAAUACGUUCCCGGGUCUUGUACACACCGCCCGUCACACCAUGGGAGCGGGUUUCACCAGAAGUGGGUAGCCUAACCGCAAGGAGGGCGCUCACCACGGUGGGAUUCGUGACUGGGGUGAAGUCGUAACAAGGUA
This 1491-nucleotide ribosomal RNA is filed under the name metagenome. RNAcentral's name for it is "bacterial SSU rRNA". It matches the Rfam family "Bacterial small subunit ribosomal RNA". The record is from RNAcentral.